Molecule: transfer RNA, 74 nt
Filed under: Polygonatum odoratum
Lineage: Eukaryota; Viridiplantae; Streptophyta; Magnoliopsida; Asparagales; Asparagaceae
Description: partial tRNA-Ser
Source: RNAcentral
AACCCUUCUUACAAAAUUAAAGAAAUGAAGUAAGGGAUUCUGUCUAUAUCUAUUCUAUCGGGGAUAAGAUCUCU